UAAUGCCUUACGUAAAGUGAGAAAUUUGCCUGGAAAUAAAGGAAGAUUGUCCAACUCCAACAACAAUGUUUUUUGUCGUGCUUUGACUGUUGAUUCCACUAAAAAGAGUGCUGACUUUUGCCCUGAAAAGUCACUCGUUUCGACUCUACAGGCUCGACAGAAUAAGGUCCGCAAGUACUGGAUGUCAGGACACUUUUACAAAGGUGGCCAUUAAAGGGAUUGCCCUUCCUUAAGGGCAUGACAAGCUUUAUUCUGGAAGCUCCGAUGGAACUGCACGAAUAUGGGAAGGCCACACUGGAAAGUGUCUUCAUUUUACUGAUCUCGGAGAUGAAGCUGGGUCCUUAAUUACUUAGGGUUCCUGGUGUUCAUUGGUUUGAAAAAUGUAGUCAAGACUUACGUGAUAUUGGUGGAUCGGAUCAACACAUCUGGAAGCACUAUCCAGAAUUCCACUGGUAGAUUUUAAAUACAACUUUUGAUUUAUAUGGCAUGUAUAGGACAAAGUUGAAAGAUGCGGCUUUGAAACAUUAAUAUAUGUAUGCUUGAAUAUCCAUAUUUUUAAGUUGGAUUUUGUAGGGUAAUGAAUGAAGUUAUUUUUGGUAAACUUAGGUUAAGAAGUAUUAUGUUAAAAUGGUUAAUGAAAACUUGUGUUUUU
Long non-coding RNA from Gossypium arboreum, 652 nucleotides. RefSeq lists it as uncharacterized. The record is from RefSeq and is a predicted model, not a curated record. Lineage: Eukaryota; Viridiplantae; Streptophyta; Magnoliopsida; Malvales; Malvaceae. The transcript is spliced from 3 exons.